GUCGAGCGAGGGAAGGUUGCUUCGGUAACUGACCUAGCGGCGGACGGGUGAGUAAUGCUUAGGAAUCUGCCAUUUAGUGGGGGACAACAUUCCGAAAGGAAUGCUAAUACCGCAUACGUCCUACGGGAGAAAGCAGGGGAUCUUCGGACCUUGCGCUAAAUGAUGAGCCUAAGUCGGAUUAGCUAGUUGGUGGGGUAAAGGCCUACCAAGGCGACGAUCUGUAGCGGGUCUGAGAGGAUGAUCCGCCACACUGGGACUGAGACACGGCCCAGACUCCUACGGGAGGCAGCAGUGGGGAAUAUUGGACAAUGGGCGGAAGCCUGAUCCAGCCAUGCCGCGUGUGUGAAGAAGGCCUUAUGGUUGUAAAGCACUUUAAGCGAGGAGGAGGCUACUUAGAUUAAUACUCUAGGAUAGUGGACGUUACUCGCAGAAUAAGCACCGGCUAACUCUGUGCCAGCAGCCGCGGUAAUACAGAGGGUGCGAGCGUUAAUCGGAUUUACUGGGCGUAAAGCGUGCGUAGGCGGCUUUUUAAGUCGGAUGUGAAAUCCCCGAGCUUAACUUGGGAAUUGCAUUCGAUACUGGGAAGCUAGAGUAUGGGAGAGGAUGGUAGAAUUCCAGGUGUAGCGGUGAAAUGCGUAGAGAUCUGGAGGAAUACCGAUGGCGAAGGCAGCCAUCUGGCCUAAUACUGACGCUGAGGUACGAAAGCAUGGGGAGCAAACAGGAUUAGAUACCCUGGUAGUCCAUGCCGUAAACGAUGUCUACUAGCCGUUGGGGCCUUUGAGGCUUUAGUGCGCAGCUAACGCGAUAAGUAGACCGCCUGGGGAGUACGGUCGCAAGACUAAAACUCAAAUGAAUUGACGGGGGCCCGCACAAGCGGUGGAGCAUGUGUUUAAUUCGAUGCAACGCGAAGAACCUUACCUGGCCUUGA
RNAcentral lists this ribosomal RNA (928 nucleotides) under Acinetobacter sp. M.pstv.39.1. Its description in RNAcentral is "bacterial SSU rRNA". It matches the Rfam family "Bacterial small subunit ribosomal RNA", at positions 61 to 984 of the family's 1533-position model. The record is from RNAcentral. Lineage: Bacteria; Pseudomonadati; Pseudomonadota; Gammaproteobacteria; Moraxellales; Moraxellaceae.